Molecule: long non-coding RNA, 1300 nt
Filed under: Olea europaea subsp. europaea
Lineage: Eukaryota; Viridiplantae; Streptophyta; Magnoliopsida; Lamiales; Oleaceae
Source: RNAcentral
CACCAACCAACUUACUUAAAUUCUGAAUUUUUUGAAGGACCCAAUUCGAAGGUGGGGGUUCAACUUCAAUCGCAUUCGCUUUCGUUGUUGUGUGCCUGACGAUACUCCAAAUGAUCACAUGGAUACCCCUCUACUUCCUCUAUCUGCUCGAUAUCCCUAUCCGUUCCUUUUUGCUUAGCGCCAUCUGCCCACAACACCGGAGCUUUGUCGGUCUCUAAUUUCUUUUCUUUUAGGGGCUUAGAAUGCCUUCUGUUAUAUAUGUUCCCUACGAUGAUUCUCGAACAUGUCGCCUUGUGCUCUUUCAAUACUGUAGAGGCUAAUCCCUAUGCCAAAACUUGUCCCAUCCCUUGCUCAACUGAUAAUGGUCCAUCAGCCGGCGACGUCGUGUCCAUCAUUCCUAGUGUCUUUGACUCCAAAUUCACCAUCUUUGGCUCCCCUCCGUUAGACCAAGGUCUCGCCUUCCGAUUUGCUCCAGUUCUCGAGUUAUUAUCCUCUAUAUCUUUAGUAAGGCCUACUUUCGCUGAUAGCUCCUUAGGACUCAAUCGUUCUUCAUCCACGCCCAUCCCACACUUGUGAAGCAUCUUGGGAGCCGCUACAAACCCACAUCCUACCAGCCUAAGUAAUUCAUCCAACUCUCCUUUAAAUGACUGGACACGAGCCCUUAAUUCGACGGUAUUCAAUAAGGCAGCAUAUCUGGACCUUCUGCAUAUGCUGCCUUAGACUUAGGCAUCAUACUAUUACCUUCACUUCACUCACAAUAACUACCUUCUCCUAUCACAUUAGCACCCUUUGAUCAACAUUCUGCGAGGCCUGUAUGUUUGUCGUAACUUUGGCAUAGGUCAUCCCUUGUCGAUUUCGAUCGUUCACUGUUUGACGGUUGGCCUUAGUUUAGCAACAAAUGAAUCAACUACUGCUUGAAACACCCGCGAGAUUGAUGCCCAUCUUUCUUCAUGCGCACCUUUUGGUACCAUCACAACUCCCUUUCGACGCUUCUUCCCAUAUUGUGCUAUCGUUAAGUACCUCCCACGGCUGUUCACACAACAUUGUGCUAAGAAAGCUCUUGAUGACUCAUUGAACUUCGAGACGAAAUUCUUCAACCUACUAGUUUCCCUCAACUUGUCCACUAUAUUCACCAUCCAAAGUGCACCGAACCUUUCCAUACAGAUUGCAUUCAAUAUCUUCGAGCCCCACUCAGUCAUCCAAAACAAUAUCGAGAUUGUUAACAAAAAUUGCAAACUCCUUCGCCUCCACUCGAAAACGAUGAUUGAAUACCAUGCUGUAUCCAUCCACUAACUGUCUC